AUUGAACGCUGGCGGCAGGCCUAACACAUGCAAGUCGAACGGAGUGGCGGACGGGUGAGUAAUGUCUGGGCAACUGCCUGAUGGAGGGGGAUAACUACUGGAAACGGUAGCUAAUACCGCAUACUAUCAGAUGAGCCUAGGGCGGAUUAGCUAGUUGGUGGGGUAAAGGCCUACCAAGGCGACGAUCCGUAACUGGUCUGAGAGGAUGAUCAGUCACACUGGAACUGAGACACGGUCCAGACUCCUACGGGAGGCAGCAUUGGGGAAUAGUGGACAAUGGGCGAAAGCCUGAUCCAUCCAUGCCGAGGGUGUGAAGAAGGUCUUCGGAUUGUAAAGCACUUUAAGUUGGGAGGCGUUACCAACAGAAUAAGCACCGGCUAACUUCGUGCCAGCAGCCGCGGUAAUUC
This 407-nucleotide ribosomal RNA is filed under the name uncultured bacterium. RNAcentral's name for it is "partial 16S ribosomal RNA". It matches the Rfam family "Bacterial small subunit ribosomal RNA", at positions 30 to 526 of the family's 1533-position model. The record is from RNAcentral.